This 468-nucleotide ribosomal RNA is filed under the name uncultured bacterium. Its description in RNAcentral is "partial 16S ribosomal RNA". It matches the Rfam family "Bacterial small subunit ribosomal RNA", at positions 28 to 507 of the family's 1533-position model. The record is from RNAcentral.
GACGAACGCUGGCGGCGCGCUUAACACAUGCAAGUCGAACGGAAAGGCCCUGCUUUUGUGGGGUGCUCGAGUGGCGAACGGGUGAGUAACACGUGAGUAACCUGCCCUUGACUUUGGGAUAACUUCAGGAAACUGGGGUUAAUACCGGAUAGGAGCUCCUGCUGCAUGGUGGGGGUUGGAAAGUUUCGGCGGUUGGGGAUGGACUCGCGGCUUAUCAGCUUGUUGGUGGGGUAGUGGCUUACCAAGGCUUUGACGGGUAGCCGGCCUGAGAGGGUGACCGGCCACAUUGGGACUGAGAUACGGCCCAGACUCCUACGGGAGGCAGCAGUGGGGAAUAUUGCACAAUGGGCGGAAGCCUGAUGCAGCAACGCCGCGUGCGGGAUGACGGCCUUCGGGUUGUAAACCGCUUUCGCCUGUGACGAAGCGUGAGUGACGGUAAUGGGUAAAGAAGCACCGGCUAACUACGUG